UUUAACUUUAUAAAGGAACUGCAUUCAGAGGAAGGCGCUGCUCAGGAGAGCGUAAAUGAACGGCUAAAUGUCAAGUGUAAAAUGUAAAUGCAAUUACUCUCCUUCUGUCCGGCUCACGGUAGGCGGGACUCUGUUGCCAUGACAAUGACGUCAAUGUUGGUGUCGAGUAACCAAAGGUCAAAAUAAAGACAAGUGAAUGAAAACGGAAGGAAACUUAACAGGCUGCCCAGAAUAGGACACAACACGACCAAAUCAGCGUAAACUUCAAACAUAUUCAUUGCGGUGGACGUUGACUCACUGUUGUUCGGGAUGAUUCGUGUUGUUCGCCGGAAAAUAUAAGACUGCAGACGACAUUGCCUUUGAUGCUGGAAUCUUCAUUCACUCCAGACAUCCUCUACAGUGGCAGUUCCUCUGGUCAGAUGGCCAUUUCCAUACUGCUUCCUGUCCCUACUAAGGUUACGCACGCAGAUUGAAGCCUGCACAGAUUUUAGCCUGCUUGACAAUGCUGCCACAGUAUAGAUCAGUUUAAAGUUUUUAAACUUUAUAGUCUUUUUCCAUCAGUUGGCAAUGUUGUGACUUCAUCUCUGGCUGUGCAUUUCAUUGUCACUGUCUGAGGUUGCAAAUGCACUAAGUAGUUUGGGGCUGUAAACAUCCCCGACUGGAAGCUGUCUAUCCACAGAGCUUUCAGUCUGAUGUUUGCUGCUGCCAGCUACCUCCAGCUCCACAAAAAUGAACAAAUGUGCCAUGUCUAUUUAUCUGACCUGCUUCUUCAAAAUCCUAAUGUAAUUGUCUAGUGAAGCUUGUAUUAUAUCACCACCUUAUCUUAUUAAUUAUAGGCAUAUCACCUGUACCUUAUCAGUUAGAUCCUGCAGGUCAUAUUUGAGCCAUAGCUUUGUGUUUUGGUAGCUCUUAUCCAGUUGUCCAGAUUCAGUUCAUGUAAACAUCCUACACUCAGCUGGAAUCAGUUGCAGCAGAGGCUGAGAGAAGGUUGUUUACUUGAACUGGCUGGAAGUGACACUUUGGCAUAAAGAAAGCUGAGCACCGGCAUCCACAUCAAGGUUAUACCUCACCAGUUUAACAGUGUCUUUGAUAUGAGGAAAAAUGUAAAAAUACCAACAUUUGCUGCUCACAACCUCUCAAAUAACCUCUCAUGUUUGUGUACUUUUCAUCAUGUCAUACCACUGUAAGUUGAAUCCUUUUUGAAAAGUUUGUCAGACAAAAUAAGCAAAUUGAAGACAUCACCUGGGCUUUGAGAACUUGUCACGGGCAUGUUUGACAUUUUAUGGGCUAAAUAACUGUCUGUAAUACUAAUUAAUAAUAAAAAUAGUCUGCCCUAAUAAACUGUUCAGUGAUAAUGAAAAGAACAUUAAUGUUACAAGUAUAGACUAUGCUCAUGACCUUGUUCCCCUGUGUUUGACAGGAUGUGAUGCUGUUAUUUUAUGUGUAUUUUUUGUGGAUGUCUCAUUAAACUGCAUCAAAGGAA
Thunnus maccoyii (southern bluefin tuna) is the source of this 1483-nucleotide long non-coding RNA. RefSeq lists it as uncharacterized. The record is from RefSeq and is a predicted model, not a curated record. Lineage: Eukaryota; Metazoa; Chordata; Actinopteri; Scombriformes; Scombridae. The transcript has 2 exons.